GCGCCUAUACAUGCAAGUCGAACGAAGUAGCAAUACUUAGUGGCAGACGGGUGAGUAACAUGUGGGUAUCUUCCCUUUGGUGAGGAAUAACACGAGGAAACUUGUGCUAAUACCUCAUAAGUCUUUACGGAGAAAGCUUUAUGCGCCAUUGGAUGAGCCUGCACUUGAUUAGUUUGUUGGUGGGGUAAUGGCCUACCAAGACAAUGAUCAAUAGCUGAUUUGAGAGGAUGAUCAGCCACAUUGGGACUGAGACACGGCCCAAACUCCUACGGGAGGCAGCAGUAGGGAAUCUUGCACAAUGGAGGAAACUCUGAUGCAGCGAUGUCGCGUGAGUGAAGAAGGCCUUUGGGUUGUAAAGCUCUUUCGUCGGGGAAGAAAAUGACUGUACCCGAAUAAGAAGGUCCGGCUAACUUCGUGCCAGCAGCCGCGGUAAUACGAAGGGACCUAGCGUAGUUCGGAAUUACUGGGCUUAAAGAGUUCGUAGGUGGUUAAAAAAGUUGAUGGUGAAAUCCCAGAGCUUAACUCUGGAACUGCCAUCAAAACUUUUUAGCUAGAGUAUGAUAGAGGAAAGCAGAAUUUCUAGUGUAGAGGUGAAAUUCGUAGAUAUUAGAAAGAAUACCAACUGCGAAGGCAGCUUUCUGGAUCAUUACUGACGCUGAGGAACGAAAGCAUGGGUAGCGAAGAGGAUUAGAUACCCUCGUAGUCCAUGCCGUAAACGAUGUGUGUUAGACGUUGGAAAUUUAUUUUCAGUGUCGCAGUGAAAACAAUAAACACACCGCCUGGGGAGUACGACCGCAAGGUUAAAACUCAAAUGAAUUGACGGGGACCCGCACAAGUAGUGGAGCAUGUGGUUUAAUUCGAAGAUACGCGCAGAACCUUACCAACACUUGACAUGUUCGUCGCGACUCUAGAGAUUAGAGUUUUCGGUUCGGCCGGACGAAACACAGGUGCUGCAUGGCUGUCGUCAGCUCGUGUCG
This 977-nucleotide ribosomal RNA is filed under the name uncultured bacterium. RNAcentral describes it as "bacterial SSU rRNA". It matches the Rfam family "Bacterial small subunit ribosomal RNA", at positions 44 to 1067 of the family's 1533-position model. The record is from RNAcentral.